AGAUUGAACGCUGGCGGCAGGCCUAACACAUGCAAGUCGAGCGGUAGAGAGGUGCUUGCACCCCUUGAGAGCGGCGGACGGGUGAGUAAUGCCUAGGAAUCUGCCUAGUGGUGGGGGAUAACGUUCGGAAACGGACGCUAAUACCGCAUACGUCCUACGGGAGAAAGCGGGGGACCUUCGGGCCUCGCGCCAUUAGAUGAGCCUAGGUCGGAUUAGCUAGUUGGUGAGGUAAUGGCUCACCAAGGCGACGAUCCGUAACUGGUCUGAGAGGAUGAUCAGUCACACUGGAACUGAGACACGGUCCAGACUCCUACGGGAGGCAGCAGUGGGGAAUAUUGGACAAUGGGCGAAAGCCUGAUCCAGCCAUGCCGCGUGUGUGAAGAAGGUCUUCGGAUUGUAAAGCACUUUAAGUUGGGAGAAGGCAAUUAACCUAAUACGUUAGUGUUUUGACGUUACCGACAGAAUAAGCACCGGCUAACUCUGCGCCAGCAG
RNAcentral lists this ribosomal RNA (492 nucleotides) under uncultured soil bacterium. Its description in RNAcentral is "bacterial SSU rRNA". It matches the Rfam family "Bacterial small subunit ribosomal RNA", at positions 26 to 514 of the family's 1533-position model. The record is from RNAcentral.